ACCUCUCUGACCAUCGACGGUUCCAUUGGGGUCUCAGACCCCUGGAUGAAAAGGGAAUACGGUGAGGUGUAGCCAAAAGGCGCCAAAACCGGAACUGCCCCCGCAACUGUGAGCGGCGAGCCAUCGGGAACAGCCACUGAUCUGCACAGCAGAUCGGGAAGGUCCCGGCCCGGCCCAGACCCGCAAGUCAGGAGACCUGCCGUUGCGAGCUGGCACCC
This 218-nucleotide non-coding RNA is filed under the name Phaeobacter sp. CECT 5382. Lineage: Bacteria; Pseudomonadati; Pseudomonadota; Alphaproteobacteria; Rhodobacterales; Roseobacteraceae. The record is from RNAcentral. RNAcentral also lists the same sequence under 1 other name.